Long non-coding RNA from Calidris pugnax (ruff), 788 nucleotides. RefSeq lists it as uncharacterized. The record is from RefSeq and is a predicted model, not a curated record. Lineage: Eukaryota; Metazoa; Chordata; Aves; Charadriiformes; Scolopacidae. The transcript has 5 exons.
UCUUUGAACAAGGAAUAGAGUCAUGUGCAGAAGCCUCCGGUGUCCUACGAGGGCAACCUGCGGAGGAGAAGAAAACCAAGGGGAGACCUCAAAAGCAAUAGCAGGAAAAGAGAAUGGCUUUGUCUGAGCCCAGCAGCAGAAGCAGUGGCACAGGGAAGGUAGUGAGGUUUAUGCAAUGAUCCUUGGAAAUGUUGCAUCUUCAGUGAGAGAGAAGAGGAAAGAGAUGGUAGUGUUUACUGCCAGCUUCACCUGGAGCCCUUGGUACCAGCCAUGGCCUCAGACUGUGGAGCAAAUGCCUGACAAGGAUCAAGAGCACAAACAUCUGCUCUCAAACUGCUCAGGAAGUCGAUGUGAGGAAUGGAGAAAACAUCCCAAGUGGUCAAAAAUAGCUCAAUAGAAGAAGAAAAACUACAACUUACACAUGAUGUGCCUGCAGUCGAUAUCCUGAAAAUUUGGACAUUCCCUGCGAAAUCCUGGUUCCAGUGGAGUUAAGGAAAUGUUCCUGUUGAGGUGAUUCUCCUAUAUGGGAUGUUCUCCUGUCAUUCAAUUGAAGUGAAAGUGACAGUCCUGUCUAGUGAUCUUAUUUCAAGAAUUGGGAUGCCAAGUCCUUUUCCAUUGGUGUUGGAGCUAAUUUCUGCUGAGACCGUAAUAACACAUGAAGUCAAGGUGGUGUUACUGCCUGAAAGGAAGAAUACACAGAAUAAAAAGGUAUUGAAGAACCUGUAUAGAUACAUUUUUUCUUCAGAAAUGAUUUUGUUGUUCUUUUGGGCUGCAGCUGGAAGGAAGUG